RNAcentral lists this ribosomal RNA (492 nucleotides) under uncultured bacterium. RNAcentral's name for it is "partial 16S ribosomal RNA". It matches the Rfam family "Bacterial small subunit ribosomal RNA", at positions 29 to 507 of the family's 1533-position model. The record is from RNAcentral.
AGUGAACGCUGGCGGUAGGCCUAACACAUGCAAGUCGAACGGCAGCACAGUAAGAGCUUGCUCUUACGGGUGGCGAGUGGCGGACGGGUGAGGAAUACAUCGGAAUCUACUUUUUCGUGGGGGAUAACGUAGGGAAACUUACGCUAAUACCGCAUACGACCUACGGGUGAAAGCAGGGGAUCUUCGGACCUUGCGCGAUUGAAUGAGCCGAUGUCGGAUUAGCUAGUUGGCGGGGUAAAGGCCCACCAAGGCGACGAUCCGUAGCUGGUCUGCGAGGAUGAUCAGCCACACUGGAACGGAGACACGGUCCAGACUCCUACGGGAGGCAGCAGUGGGGAAUAUUGGACAAUGGGCGCAAGCCUGAUCCAGCCAUACCGCGUGGGUGAAGAAGGCCUUCGGGUUGUAAAGCCCUUUUGUUGGGAAAGAAAAGCAGCAGGUUAAUACCCCGCUGUUCUGACGGUACCCAAAGAAUAAGCACCGGCUAACUUCGUG